This is a long non-coding RNA of Amphiprion ocellaris (clown anemonefish), 1240 nucleotides long. Lineage: Eukaryota; Metazoa; Chordata; Actinopteri; Pomacentridae. The record is from Ensembl.
CCUGUGCAAUCCUUCUGGUCAUCAACAUGAGCUCCUCGUUCAAAGACGCCCACAGAGAAGCUCUGGAGGAGCAGCUGGAGGCCGGAGGAGGUCGCCUGUGGAGGAGAACCAUGGUGCUGUUCAGUUACGGGGACUGGCUGGGCGACACGAGCAUCGAGCAGCGAAUCGAGAGCGAAGGCGAGUCGCUGCAGAGACUGGUGGAGAAAUGUGGGAACAGAUAUAAUGUUUUGGAUAAUAAGCACUGGGGAGAUGGAGCUCAGGUGAAGGAGCUGAUGGAGCUGGUGGAGGAGAUGCUGGUUGCAGAAAGGAUGGAUGCUCUCCAGGGAGGUGACCACAUGUACAAAAGCGUUUCUUCAGCACAAAAUGCAAUGACUCUAAGUAAGAAGGAUAUAAAGGAGCUCAUAAAGAGAAGACAUCAGCUGCUCAGUGCCUUGCCUGAAUCAGCCACUUCUACACCAAACUGCACCGCUGCUGCUGCUCAAACUGUGGCUUUACCAGCCCACAGAGCCAGACGACUGACUGGAUUCACCAUCGUGGACAUGUCCUACAUCACCUCAGUGCUCUCUGGUGCAGAAGGACUGAGGUGGCCGACGGGGAAUCUACCUGUCCGGCUCUCUGCUCCUCACCUGAAACUGAACAACUUCAUGCAUCCCAGAAAUCAAACGAUGCUUCUGGUUUCAUCUCAAAAUCACCACAGUACCCUCGCAGAGGAAGAUACCAUCAGUGUACACAGCCUCUGCCAUCCUGUGCUGAAAGAUCGGACUCUCAGGAGGCUUUCUGAGUCCGGAGGCCUGCAGAUGCUCAUCGAUCAGUGGGGCAGCAGCAGCCUGGAGGAGCUGGAGGCCUUCAUCGACUCCUACUUUGAGUUGGUGUGGGAGGAGACCAUGGGGUCGUGUCAGGAUGCCGAACCCGACUGUGAGACUGCAGAGCUGGACGCCGUCAUCAGGGAAGUUGCAGAAGAGGAGAAGGAAAAGGAGGUUCUCUCUUCCAUUGAUAGGAAACUUUCAAAGCUGGAGAUCCUCGAGGAGAUCCGGAGUGAUCUGGUGGAGCUGAAACAGAGUCUGGAGAGCAGCUGGAGAGCCAUUCAGGAGCUUGGAGACAAAAACAAACCAGACCAAGAUGACACAUGUUGAUAAAGAGGAGUCAGUGAUCAAAACUUCAGGCAGAAAGAGAGAAUUAAUCAUUUUUUCACAGCCAUAAUAAUAAAUGGAUGUAAAGAAGAAGAAAAAAGAAAUGGGGC